AGGUUCAGCCAUGCCACCCUGAACAUGCCUGAUCUCAUCUGAUCUCAGAAGCUAAGCAGGGUCAGGCCUGGUUAGUACUUGGAUGGGAGACCACCUAGGAAGACCAAGUGCUGUAGGCU
RNAcentral lists this ribosomal RNA (119 nucleotides) under Pteropus alecto (black flying fox). Lineage: Eukaryota; Metazoa; Chordata; Mammalia; Chiroptera; Pteropodidae. The record is from RNAcentral.